AUUCCGACGUAGUUCGGAGAGAAAAAUUGCCCAAUAAUUCUCGUCUCGUAUCUUUCGUUCUUCGGAUCGGAAAUCGUUGGAGAUGAUCGAUAAAGGAUUGGAUAACAGCUUCGCGGGACGAAGAAGACUACGAAUUUCUAACUGACGCAAAAUCCCAUGCCAAAACGUUCGAGACGCGAGCUCAUAUCCAUCCAUCCAUCCCCAUAAACGGUUCGCAUCCGUCUUCGUUCGGUAACUGUGCUGUACUCAUCGUCGAGGGCAUCCCGUCCCCCCCCCCCCCCCCCCCUGACGGUCGACUAUAUCGAGCGAUAUGGAGGUGCACAAAAUCCACGGGUAUUUGUGUUACAACGCCGAAAAUCACAACUGACGAAUCGGUGAGGGCACACCCGUCGCGCGCGGACCUCCAAAGUAUCAUUACAUCAAGGAUAACAGGUCGACGACGUUCCUGUGGGCGCGACACUUGGGAGUUUAACGAACGAACGGAGGGACGCGUCGGAACCAGAUGACCAUUGCGUGACGGAACCGAAUCAGGACAUCAACGAGUCUCUCCAAAGAUCGACGCCUCUCCAUCCUGAUGAUGAUCAGAUGAUGGAUCUGCAACACAUGAGACGUACAACACCUUCCUUUUGCGGAG
This 634-nucleotide unclassified non-coding RNA is filed under the name Athalia rosae (coleseed sawfly). Its description in RNAcentral is "misc RNA ENSAEAG00005001860.1". Lineage: Eukaryota; Metazoa; Arthropoda; Insecta; Hymenoptera; Athaliidae. The record is from RNAcentral.